GGUGGCUCAGUGAUAGAGCACUUGCCUUGCAUGCAUGAGGCCCUGGGUUUGAUUCCUCUGCACCA
RNAcentral lists this transfer RNA (65 nucleotides) under Dipodomys ordii (Ord's kangaroo rat). It matches the Rfam family "tRNA". Rfam says of the family: Transfer RNA (tRNA) molecules are approximately 80 nucleotides in length. Their secondary structure includes four short double-helical elements and three loops (D, anti-codon, and T loops). Further hydrogen bonds mediate the characteristic L-shaped molecular structure. tRNAs have two regions of fundamental functional importance: the anti-codon, which is responsible for specific mRNA codon recognition, and the 3' end, to which the tRNAs corresponding amino acid is attached (by aminoacyl-tRNA synthetases). tRNAs cope with the degeneracy of the genetic code in two manners: having more than one tRNA (with a specific anti-codon) for a particular amino acid; and 'wobble' base-pairing, i.e. permitting non-standard base-pairing at the 3rd anti-codon position. The record is from Rfam by way of RNAcentral. Lineage: Eukaryota; Metazoa; Chordata; Mammalia; Rodentia; Heteromyidae.